Molecule: transfer RNA, 64 nt
Filed under: Euthystira luteifemora
Lineage: Eukaryota; Metazoa; Arthropoda; Insecta; Orthoptera; Acrididae
Description: tRNA-Cys
Source: RNAcentral
GGUUUUAUAUUCAACUAUGAUUCUAGACUGCAAUUCUAGAGGUGUAAAAUUAUUACUAAGGCCU